This 384-nucleotide long non-coding RNA is filed under the name Ananas comosus (pineapple). Its description in RNAcentral is "long non-coding RNA (ACOM_LNC027292)". The record is from RNAcentral. Lineage: Eukaryota; Viridiplantae; Streptophyta; Magnoliopsida; Poales; Bromeliaceae.
AACCAAGUACUUAAAUUAAAGCGUAAACUUCAAGUACCAUUCCCGUGGUUUCACAUUUUUUCACUUUAGUACUUUAUAAUUUAAAGUGUAUUAAGUUAGUAUUCUAUGGUUUUAUUUUUAUCUUUUCGUCAGCUUUUUCGUUAAUAUUUCAUUAAAUUAUAUAGAAAAAACUUCAUAUUUUCUAUUAUUUAUUUUAAUACUCUUUAGUUUUAACUUUGUCACUGAUUUAACGAAAAAAAUUAAUAAAAUUGAUAAUAAAAAAAAAUAAAACCAUAUAUCACUAAAUUGAUAUAUUUUAAACCACAUGUUGUUAAAGUGAAAAAGUAUAAAAUUGUAUGGGUGAUAUUUGAAGUUCUUUUUAAAUUAAAAGAUGAAAUGAGAUGU